UUGAUAGGUGUUCAGUGAGGGAAGUGAUGACGUCACCAAUGAAGGAGCGACAACCAGGAGCCGCUAGAUUAUGAUCGCGUACGCCGGCGCUCUGUCCUCGGAUCCAUGGAGCCCAAAUGACAUGAUGUGGGUAUCGGGCUCUGGCAGACGCAAGCACAGUGACACAGUACACAGAAGCGGCACGUAAACCUCGUCUGUAAACAUAGCUAGGGGUAUGCGUGGCACGGUGAAGCAG
This is a long non-coding RNA of Penaeus monodon (black tiger shrimp), 235 nucleotides long. RefSeq lists it as uncharacterized. NCBI's taxonomy places the organism in Eukaryota, Metazoa, Arthropoda, Malacostraca, Decapoda, Penaeidae. The record is from RefSeq and is a predicted model, not a curated record. The transcript is spliced from 4 exons.